RNAcentral lists this ribosomal RNA (320 nucleotides) under uncultured eukaryote. RNAcentral's name for it is "partial 18S ribosomal RNA". It matches the Rfam family "Eukaryotic small subunit ribosomal RNA", at positions 1470 to 1796 of the family's 1831-position model. The record is from RNAcentral.
CCCCUAGAUGUUCUGGGCCGCACGCGCGCUACACUGAACAGUUCAACAAGUCUUAACCUUGGCCGAUAGGUCUGGGUAAUCUUUGAACGCUGUUCGUGAUUGGGAUAGACCUUUGCAAUUAUGGGUCUUCAACGAGGAAUUCCUAGUAAACGCAAGUCAUCAGCUUGCAUUGAUUACGUCCCUGCCCUUUGUGCACACCGCCCGUCGCACCUACCGAUUGAAUGGUCCGGUGAAAUCUCGGGACGGCGGCUUGGUCGCUUGCGUCCGACUGCUGAAACUUGAUUAAACCAUAUCAUUUAGAGGAAGGUGAAGUCGUANCA